UACUUGGACUUUGUUAUGUCCAUGUCAUUGACCUUUGUGUGACAUAACCUUAAAAGUCUUUCCACAUUUUUCUAGAUUCUGUAUAAAAAUGCGUCGUAUUCAAGGAAGUUUUGGAUCAAGAGAUCCUGAGGAGGACCGUAAGAAGAACCGUGAAUCUGUUUUGGCAAAUUUAGUUUUGUUUUGCUCGAUUGUGGUGAUAAUACGAGUGGCCCCUAUUGUUGUAAACAGUCUAUAAUGGAAGCAAGUUAUGUUCUUCGCAUCUUCGCAAUGUGGGACUGAAUGUUGUGAUGUAAUAAAGUUUUAUACGUUUUUCAUUAUUUGUAUGACUUGUAAAUUACAUGGAAUGUAAAAAAGCCGAAUAAAGUCAUGUAAUCGGA
Tribolium madens (black flour beetle) is the source of this 377-nucleotide long non-coding RNA. RefSeq lists it as uncharacterized. Lineage: Eukaryota; Metazoa; Arthropoda; Insecta; Coleoptera; Tenebrionidae. The record is from RefSeq and is a predicted model, not a curated record. The transcript is spliced from 2 exons.